AUGAUAGGUGCCCCUUUCUACUCCUCGUCCCCAAUGUCCUGCGUGCCUCCUCCUCAGCUGAUGGUUGUUGUCCGCCGACACCUUCAUCACCACCCCAUACAACACGCCCUUCAUCCGCGGCCUCGGUGUUGGCGCCAACAUUAUUGUGGUCAUCGUAGAGCUACCCGUUCCCCUUCGAGGACACCCUGGAGAGCACGGACGAUCUGUCAUCCUAAACUUCAUCACUGCAGUGCGCACGCUCUGUCCGACAUUCUCCAAUCCUCAUCCCCCACAUUCCUCCGUGAUACAUAUCCUCCUCUUUUCAAUCCCCGUCUCUUUGUGAGCGCCACCUCCCAUCGCCGGCGCUCUUGUCCACCCAAUCCCCUUCUCGUCAGCUUGCUCAUGGACGUUCCUCCCUCUCGUCAACCUCACCGAACUGUCUUUCACAACUCCACUCCAUCCACUAGCACCACCUCCCCAACUUGCUGA
Molecule: ribosomal RNA, 468 nt
Filed under: Triticum aestivum (bread wheat)
Lineage: Eukaryota; Viridiplantae; Streptophyta; Magnoliopsida; Poales; Poaceae
Description: partial small subunit ribosomal RNA
Source: RNAcentral